AAGACUGACGCUAAGGUGCAGAAAGCGUGGGGAGCAAACAGGAAGAUACCCCUGGUAGUCCACGCCGUAAACGAUGUCGACUUGGAGGUUGUUCCCUUGAGGAGUGGCUUCCGGAGCUAACGCGUUAAGUCGACCGCCUGGGGAGUACGGCCGCAAGGUUAAAACUCAAAGAAUGACGGGGGCCCGCACAAGCGGUGGAGCAGGGAAAUUCGAGCAACGCGAAGAACCUACCUACUCUUGACAUCCACGGGAANUCGGCAGAGAUGCCUUAGUGCCUUCGGGAACNNGUGAGACAGGUGCUGCAUGGCGUCGUCAGCUCGUGUUGUGAAAUGUUGGGUUAAGUCCCGCAACGAGCGCAACCCUUAUCCUUUGUUGCAGCGAUUCGGUCGGGAACUCAAAGGAGACUGCCGGUGAUAAACCGGAGGAAGGUGGGGGAUGACGUCAAGUCAU
RNAcentral lists this ribosomal RNA (450 nucleotides) under Enterobacter sp. LEM_BV-05. RNAcentral describes it as "bacterial SSU rRNA". It matches the Rfam family "Bacterial small subunit ribosomal RNA", at positions 736 to 1193 of the family's 1533-position model. The record is from RNAcentral. Lineage: Bacteria; Pseudomonadati; Pseudomonadota; Gammaproteobacteria; Enterobacterales; Enterobacteriaceae.